RNAcentral lists this ribosomal RNA (446 nucleotides) under uncultured bacterium. RNAcentral describes it as "partial 16S ribosomal RNA". It matches the Rfam family "Bacterial small subunit ribosomal RNA", at positions 338 to 795 of the family's 1533-position model. The record is from RNAcentral.
CCUACGGGGGGCUGCAGUCGAGAAUCAUUCACAAUGGGGGAAACCCUGAUGGUGCGACGCCGCGUGGGGGAAUGAAGGUCUUCGGAUUGUAAACCCCUGUCAUGAGGGAGCAAAUUAAAGAGAUCGUACCACAAGAGGCAGAGACGGCUAACUCUGUCCCAGCAGCCGCGGUAAUACAGAGGUCUCAAGCGUUGUUCGGAUUCACUGGGCGUAAAGCGUGCGUAGGCUGUUUCGUACGUCGUGAGUGAAAGGCGCGGGCUCAACCCGCGGACGGCACAUGAUAAUGCGAGACUAGAGUAAGGGAGAGGGAACCGGAAUUCGCGGUGUAGCAGUGAAAUGCGUAGAUAUCGAGAGGAACACUCGUGGCGAAGGCGGGUUACUGGACAUUAACUGACGCUGAGGCACGAAGGCCAGGGGAGCGAAAGGGAUUAGAUACCCUAGUAGUC